Long non-coding RNA from Pistacia vera, 821 nucleotides. RefSeq lists it as uncharacterized. The transcript is spliced from 6 exons. NCBI's taxonomy places the organism in Eukaryota, Viridiplantae, Streptophyta, Magnoliopsida, Sapindales, Anacardiaceae. The record is from RefSeq and is a predicted model, not a curated record.
UCCUCUUCAUCUUCUUUGUUACACGACCCAGCUCUCUAAUUUCAUUCAACAUCACUCAAAACGACCACCACUCACCAACAAAUAGCCGCCUUUCCUCUCUGUCUCUCAUUUAAGGUAGUGCAGCAGCUGCCACAGGGGCAGUGGCUAUUAAUCACUCAUGGGUUGCUGCCAAUCAGGAUCUUGCCAUGGGAUUGUUAUUUGUAAUAGAUAUGCAGGCAUCAUUUUUGAAGAGUCUCUCGCUUUCAAUAAAAGUGGAGUUGGAUUACUGAUGGCUGUGAGUUUAUGGGUUGUGCAAAGCAUCGGAUUUUGCAGAUCUAUUAUCAUGGAUUUCAUGAAGGUCAUCGACCAGAGAGUUUGCGAAAUAAAGAGGGAGGUGAAUUUGAAGGUUUUGAAGGCUCCGGAGAUCGAACAGAACUGCUGAUGCUGAUGAUGGUGCAGUUGCAGUGAGUGGUGGUGAUGAUGAUGAUGAUUGAUGACGAUUGAAUUAGGUGAAAUUAAGAGCUUAAGACUGCCGAUAAAGUUCGGAAAUCAUAGAGGUUUUGCAUUUGUGGAGUUCGUCACAAAGCAAGAGGCACAAAAUGCACCCCAAGCACUUUCAAGCACCCAUCUUUAUGGGCGGCAUCUGGUACUGGAGAGAGCAAAAGAAGGUGAGAGUUUAGAAGAAUUACAGGCUCGAACGGCAGCUCAGUUUACUAAUGAGAUAAGCUGUUCAAGAAGAGGAAGCACAUGGCAAUUGUAAGGCUCGAAGAAAUAGAGCACAAAGUUGUAAAAAGAUUUCUAAAAGGGUAGGCCGAAAAUCAUGUUUCAAUCUUUUUUUUCGA